This 494-nucleotide ribosomal RNA is filed under the name uncultured bacterium. Its description in RNAcentral is "partial 16S ribosomal RNA". It matches the Rfam family "Bacterial small subunit ribosomal RNA", at positions 28 to 507 of the family's 1533-position model. The record is from RNAcentral.
GACGAACGCUGGCGGCGUGCUUAACACAUGCAAGUCGAACGGUGAAGCGCCUUCCUUUUUGGUGGGUGUGGAUGAGUGGCGAACGGGUGAGUAACACGUGAGUAACCUGCCCCCUUCUUCUGGAUAACCGCAUGAAAGUGUGGCUAAUACGGGAUAUUCUGGGUCUGUCGCAUGAUGGGUCUGGGCAAGAUAUUGUUUCGGUGGGGGAUGGGCUCGCGGCCUAUCAGCUUGUUGGUGGGGUGAUGGCCUACCAAGGCGGUGACGGGUAGCCGGCCCGAGAGGGUGGACGGUCACACUGGGACUGAGACACGGCCCAGACUCCUACGGGAGGCAGCAGUGGGGAAUAUUGCACAAUGGGCGCAAGCCUGAUGCAGCGACGCCGCGUGAGGGAUGGAGGCCUUCGGGUUGUGAACCUCUUUCGCCAGUGAAGCAGGCCUGCCUCGUUUGUGGGUGGGUUGACGGUAGCUGGAUAAGAAGCGCCGGCUAACUACGUG